AUCUAGCCCCGAUAGAAGUGAGAAUACUUUUGUGCCGGGGUUCGGCACAAAAGAUUGUAACGAAUAGCGGGACUUUUG
This 78-nucleotide small RNA is filed under the name Flavobacterium sp. KMS. RNAcentral describes it as "Flavo-1 RNA". It matches the Rfam family "Flavo-1 RNA". The record is from Rfam by way of RNAcentral. Lineage: Bacteria; Pseudomonadati; Bacteroidota; Flavobacteriia; Flavobacteriales; Flavobacteriaceae.